CCUGGGUGACAGAGCCAGACCCUAUCUGCAAAUAAAACUAAACAAGACAAAAACAUGCUGUGGAGAUACAAGGUGGAAGCAGGCUGGAAAAAAUAUCCCUGGUAAGGAUACAAUGAAGGAAUGCUGGUAACCUCACCCUGGUGUUCCUUCGCCAGUGGCGAGGGCUGUGGUUUUCAUCAUGGGAGAAGCCCUUAACUAGGCUUCUAAACUAGCUAACCUCACCUGCCAACUUAUGCCAGCUGACAAGACAUCAGCGGACACAGACCUUUUCUGAACAAAGUAGAACUCAGGAAUCCCCAAGCGUCCAGCAGGCAUCAACUAUCACACUCUGGCCCUGGUGGUGACAGAGCAGAGAGACCUAAGAGAUGGCGGGGUCCAGGAUUCCACUCACAUCCGCAGGAAUGUGGUAGAUGCUGCCAGCAAGGAGGGUGAGGGAGGCGGACAGGAGCCCUGAUGCUCCUUUUCAAUUACCUUUGUGACAGCCCAUCAGAGGAGUUGGGCUGCCUCAUUGCAGAGAGGCUCAUGUAGGGGAGAGGAGGGUGCCAGAGCUGGAUUAUCACCCACCCCUCCCUUGGGGUGUGGGUAGCUGAGCUGGGAAGUGCCUCUGAAAAGCUGACGUGCCAAUAAACAAAAAACAUGGAGAGAUUUUCAUGGGAAUCUUCCAGAGUGCACACCUAGGUCAGAUCAUCAUUUCUUUAGCCCUGUAGAACGUAAUUCCAGACAGAUAUACUGGUUUACACAUCAAUAAUCUAAUUGUACUUUAAAUGAGGAAGAAGGGCUAUCUCGGCUUUGGAAUAGCAUCAUGUUUAGGUCAAUGAAUGAUUGUUCCAAUUCUCCUUGCAGGU
This 845-nucleotide long non-coding RNA is filed under the name Pan troglodytes (chimpanzee). Its description in RNAcentral is "long non-coding RNA NONPTRT017066". Lineage: Eukaryota; Metazoa; Chordata; Mammalia; Primates; Hominidae. The record is from RNAcentral.